AAUUCGCCCUUGAGCACGUAGGUGGGUUUGUAAGUCAGAUGUGAAAGCCUUCUGUUCAACGGAAGAAUUGCAUCUGAAACUACAAGUCUUGAGUGUAGGAGGGGAGAAUGGAACUUCUGGUGGAGCGGUGAAAUCCGUAGAUAUCAGAAGGAACGCCGGCGGCGAAAGCGAUUCUCUGGCCUAUUACUGACACUCAGUGUGCGAAAGCUAGGGGAGCAAACGGGAUUAGAUACCCCGGUAGUCCUAGCCGUAAACGAUGGGCACUAAGUAGAGGGGAUUACCGACGUUCUCUCUGCCGUAGCUAACGCAUUAAGUGCCCCGCCUGGGGAGUACGGCCGCAAGGCUAAAACUCAAAAGAAUUGACGGGGGCUCGCACAAGCGGUGGAGCAUGUGGCUUAAUUCGAUGCAACGCGAAGAACCUUACCGGGGCUUGACAUGGUAGAAGUAGGAACCCGAAAGGGUAACGAACGGUAUCCAGUCCGUGACUAUCACAGGUGUUGCAUGGCUGUCGUCAGCUCGUGUCGUGAGACGUUGGGUUAAGUCCCCUAACGAGCGAAACCCUUGUUUUUAGUUACCAGCGGGUUAUGCCGGGUACUCUAGAAAGACUGCCGUCGUCAAGACGGAGGAAGGUGGGGAUGACGUCGAGUCAUCAUGGCUCUUAUGCCCCGGGCUGCACACGCGCUACAAUGGUCGGUACAAACGGAAGCGAAGCCGAGAGGUGAAGCGAAUCCAAGGGCGAAUU
Molecule: ribosomal RNA, 742 nt
Filed under: uncultured Planctomycetota bacterium
Lineage: Bacteria; Pseudomonadati; Planctomycetota
Description: bacterial SSU rRNA
Rfam family: Bacterial small subunit ribosomal RNA
Source: RNAcentral